GCCUACGGGGGGCAGCAGUGAGGAAUAUUGGUCAAUGGGCGGGAGCCUGAACCAGCCAAGCCGCGUGAGGGAAGAAGGUACAGCGUAUCGUAAACCUCUUUUGUCAGGGAACAAAGGCGGGGACUAGUCCCCGGAUGAGGGUACCUGAAGAAAAAGCAUCGGCUAACUCCGUGCCAGCAGCCGCGGUAAUACGGAGGAUGCGAGCGUUAUCCGGAUUUAUUGGGUUUAAAGGGUGCGUAGGCGGGACCUUAAGUCAGCGGUAAAAUUGCGGUGCUCAACGCCGUAGAGCCGUUGAAACUGGGGUU
RNAcentral lists this ribosomal RNA (305 nucleotides) under uncultured bacterium. RNAcentral describes it as "bacterial SSU rRNA". It matches the Rfam family "Bacterial small subunit ribosomal RNA", at positions 337 to 640 of the family's 1533-position model. The record is from RNAcentral.